Molecule: long non-coding RNA, 1439 nt
Organism: Aedes aegypti (yellow fever mosquito)
Lineage: Eukaryota; Metazoa; Arthropoda; Insecta; Diptera; Culicidae
Exons: 3
Source: RefSeq, a predicted model, not a curated record
GCUCAGUAGUUUAGUUCGCCUGCGAGUGCCGAACCGUUCGGUUGUAUUUGCGGCUGUGUUCUCGCGGUUUUUCAUCCGCGUCGUGUGGGUUGAUUAGUGGCCUCUGCUGUCUUUUUUGCCUUUGCUGGUGGCUGCAUUUUGCACCUCCCCUCUGUCAAGUUCAAGAGUCAGUGAGUGUUUUAUGUAUCUGCGAGGAACUCCCAGCCAAAAAGGGAAAACUAUUUCGAAAGAAGGAAAACCUACGCUAUUUCGGGGCUUGUUUGGUGUCAGGUGCCAGCGGAGGAAGCGAUUUGUGCAAAGCAAUUAGGUAUUGUGCAGAGUUUUUGUUGAGAAAAGUGCAGCCAAGUGGGAUAGAAAAAAGUGUAUAUAAAACCCCUCUGUGAAGUGCCGCGAUGCAAAGAAGAAAGCAAAAAUAACCAAAGGAGAAGAAGAAAAGGAUUGCAGAUUUUUGGCCGGGGUGUUUUCUCUGCUCAGCGCGUUCAGUUCGAUUAAGUCAGAGUAGCUAUAUAAAGUGAACGCCCGCGAGUGAUGCAAGAUUUGCAAAUUAGGUAGCGAUUGGUUUCGUUGACAAUAUUCAGUCAUCGGAGUUCCAGCGAUAGAACAUUAUACCUAGCGGAGAACAUCGGCAGGCUCCCUGGGGAAUCAGUUUAUUGGUCGCCCAUUGCAUCUAGUGUUUCGUAAUAAAUAGCGUUGAACAUCGCCGAACUACGCACAAUCAUCGGAUCCAGCAAAUAACCACCCAUCCAACCGGUCGUCGACGAAGCACAUACAGAAAACGCUUGGAGAAAAUAUAAAUCACCCGGCAGGCAACCAGCAAAAGUGACGGGAUCGUUUCCCAACGCAAUCCUCUGACGCCAGAAGCAAAGCAAAGCAAUUGCUGAAUGAAAAGUGAAAUUCCCAUUGGAAAUAGUGAAAUAGGUAUGAUAAAUAAGGAAAAUUGAGUGCACCACGCGCCACAAGCGACGGCUACAGUGUGCUGUGGCAUUGGUUCGUUACCAUGUGUACCUGUUGAGCGCUGUAAAGUGUAGUGGCAGCAGCAAGUGAACCAAGAAGAAAGGUGAAAAAUAAGCACGAAAGUGAAGGAAAACAGUGCGCUGCCAUUCACCACGCCUCACCCCUCACGUUGAUCCACACUUAAAGUGGGGUCGGUCAGGUGGAAUUGUGGCCGCCCUCUCGCCCUUUGGUUCGCGGUAAUUAGUGCUGCUAUUAGACAGCACCACGUGGCCUCCGGGUUUCAUAAGUUGGCUGUGUGCGAAGGGGGGGAUGCCGCCAAGUGUGUGAUGGGAGUGAUCUUUCGACGCUUCCCGUGUACGUCCCAUCCAGCGAGCUGCGUAGAACCACUGUAAUUGCUGUAUCAGCAUCACGCAACGCACCCGUAGAAAAAAACUGUAGAAGUAGCUCUGCUUAGCCUAUAAGGUAGGUGCAACUCGUGGUCGAUA